AGUGAACGCUGGCGGCAGGCCUAACACAUGCAAGUCGAACGGCAGCACAGUAAGAGUUUGCUCUUAAGGGUGGCGAGUGGCGGACGGGUGAGGCAUACAUCGGAAUCUAACUUUUCGUGGGGGAUAACGUAGGGAAACACAUGCUAAUACAGCAUACGAUCUAUGGGUGAAAGCAGGGGCUCUUCGGACCUUGCGCGUUUGAAUGAGACGAUGUCGGAUUAGCUAGUUGGCGAGGUAAAGGCCCACCAAGGCGACGCACCGUAGCUGGUCUGAGAGGCUGAUCAACCACACGGUAACUGAGACACGGUCCAGACUCCUACAGUGGGCAGCAGUGGGGAAUAUUGGACGAUGGGGGCGAGCCUGAUCCAGCCAUACCGCGUGAGUGAAGAAGGCCUUCGGGUUGGAAAGCCCUUUUGUUGGGAAAGAAGUGCAGCAGUUUAAUACCCCGCUAUACUGACGGUACCCAAAGAAUAAGCACCGGCUAACUUCGUG
RNAcentral lists this ribosomal RNA (492 nucleotides) under uncultured bacterium. RNAcentral's name for it is "partial 16S ribosomal RNA". It matches the Rfam family "Bacterial small subunit ribosomal RNA", at positions 29 to 507 of the family's 1533-position model. The record is from RNAcentral.